Molecule: ribosomal RNA, 119 nt
Filed under: Podarcis lilfordi (Lilford's wall lizard)
Lineage: Eukaryota; Metazoa; Chordata; Lepidosauria; Squamata; Lacertidae
Source: RNAcentral
GUCUACGGCCAUACUACCCUGAACACACCCGAUCUUGUCUGAUCUCGGAAGCUAAGCAGGGUCAGGCCUGGUUAGUACUUGGAUGGGAAACGGCCUGCCAGUCUGAUUUCCCACAAUGC